RNAcentral lists this unclassified non-coding RNA (329 nucleotides) under soil metagenome. RNAcentral describes it as "partial contains 5.8S ribosomal RNA, internal transcribed spacer 2, and large subunit ribosomal RNA". The stretch from base 1 to 120 matches the Rfam family "5.8S ribosomal RNA", at positions 35 to 154 of the family's 154-position model. The record is from RNAcentral.
GAUGAAGAACGCAGCGAAAUGCGAUAAGUAGUGUGAAUUGCAGAAUUCAGUGAAUCAUCGAAUCUUUGAACGCACAUUGCGCCCCUUGGUAUCCCGAGGGGCAUGCCUGUUCGAGCGUCAUUUCACCACUCAAGCCUGGCUUGGUGUUGGGCGACGUCCUCUUUGGGGACGCGCCUCGAAACGCUCGGCGGCGUGGCACCGGCUUUAAGCGUAGCAGAAUCUUUCGCUUUGGAAGUCGGGGCCCCGUCUGCCGGAAGACCUGCUCGCAAGGUUGACCUCGGAUCAGGCAGGGAUACCCGCUGAACUUAAACAUAUCAAUAAGCGGAGGA